Molecule: small nuclear RNA, 65 nt
Filed under: Bombyx mori (domestic silkworm)
Lineage: Eukaryota; Metazoa; Arthropoda; Insecta; Lepidoptera; Bombycidae
Source: RNAcentral
GGACACUUCGGCAGUACAUAUACUAAAAUUGGAACGAUAGAGAAGAUUAGCAUGGCCCCUGCGCA